CAGCAGGGGGAAUUUGGACAAUGGGGGCAACCCUGAUCCAGCAAUGCCGCGUGUGGAAGAAGGCCUUCGGGUUGUAAAGCACUUUUGUCCGGAAAGAAAUCCCUUGCCUUAAUACGGCGGGGGGAUGACGGUACCGGAAGAAUAAGCACCGGCUAACUACGUGCCAGCAGCCGCGGUAAUACGUAGGGUGCGAGCGUUAUUCGGAAUUACUGGGCGUAAAGCGUGCGCAGGCGGUUUUGUAAGACAGGCGUGAAAUCCCCGGGCUCAACUUGGGAAUGGCGUUUGUGACUGCAAGGCUAGAGUAUGUCAGAGGGGGGUAGAAUUCCACGUGUAGCAGUGAAAUGCGUAGAGAUGUGGAGGAAUACCGAUGGCGAAGGCAGCCCCCUGGGACGUCACUGACGCUCAUGCACGAAAGCGUGGGGAGCAAACAGGAUUAGAUACCCUGGUAGUCCACGCCCUAAACGAUGUCAACUAG
RNAcentral lists this ribosomal RNA (475 nucleotides) under uncultured bacterium. RNAcentral's name for it is "bacterial SSU rRNA". It matches the Rfam family "Bacterial small subunit ribosomal RNA", at positions 349 to 819 of the family's 1533-position model. The record is from RNAcentral.